RNAcentral lists this ribosomal RNA (305 nucleotides) under uncultured bacterium. Its description in RNAcentral is "bacterial SSU rRNA". It matches the Rfam family "Bacterial small subunit ribosomal RNA", at positions 338 to 660 of the family's 1533-position model. The record is from RNAcentral.
CCUACGGGAGGCAGCAGUGGGGGAUAUUGCACAAUGGGGGAAACCCUGAUGCAGCGACGCCGCGUGUGGGAAGACGGUCCUCUGGAUCGUAAACCACUGUCCCCAGGGACGAAAAUGACGGUACCUGGGGAGGAAGCUCCGGCUAACUACGUGCCAGCAGCCGCGGUAAUACGUAGGGAGCGAGCGUUGUCCGGAAUUACUGGGUGUAAAGGGAGCGUAGGCGGGGAUGCAAGUUGGGUGUCAAAACUACCGGCUCAACUGGUAGUCGCACUCAAAACUGCAGCUCUUGAGUGAAGUAGAUGCAG